GGCUCAGGACGAACGCUGGCGGCGCGCUUAACACAUGCAAGUCGAGCGAUGAAAUUUCGACAGAACCCUUCGGGGUGAAGAUGAAAUGGAUUAGCGGCGGACGGGUGAGUAACACGUGAGUAACCUGCCUUAGACAUUGGGAUAGCCUCGGGAAACCGGGAUUAAUACCAAAUGAAAUCACAUAUGCACAUGCAUAAAUGAUCAAAGCUCCGGCGGUCUAAGAUGGACUCGCGUCCCAUUAGCUAGUUGGUGAGGUAACGGCCCACCAAGGCGACGAUGGGUAGCCGGCCUGAGAGGGUGAACGGCCACAUUGGAACUGAGAAACGGUCCAAACUCCUACGGGAGGCAGCAGUGGGGAAUAUUGCACAAUGGAGGGAACUCUGAUGCAGCGACGCCGCGUGAACGAAGAAGGCUUUCGAGUCGUAAAGUUCUUUUAUAUGGGAAGAUAAUGACGGUACCAUAAGAAAAAGCCCCGGCUAACUACGUGCCAGCAGCCGCGGUAAUA
This 505-nucleotide ribosomal RNA is filed under the name Peptoniphilus sp. MML-11-717. Its description in RNAcentral is "bacterial SSU rRNA". It matches the Rfam family "Bacterial small subunit ribosomal RNA", at positions 21 to 525 of the family's 1533-position model. Lineage: Bacteria; Bacillati; Bacillota; Tissierellia; Tissierellales; Peptoniphilaceae. The record is from RNAcentral.